This 99-nucleotide non-coding RNA is filed under the name Karenia brevis. The record is from RNAcentral. Lineage: Eukaryota; Dinophyceae; Gymnodiniales; Kareniaceae.
CUAAUUUAUAUGCUUUACUUGGUGUCACUCUUGAUGCAACGGCCUCUGAGAUUCGGGCAGCCUACAGAAAACUGGCGCUGGUGACACACCCAGACAAAC